Molecule: non-coding RNA, 72 nt
Organism: Bos taurus (domestic cattle)
Lineage: Eukaryota; Metazoa; Chordata; Mammalia; Artiodactyla; Bovidae
Source: Rfam
UCCCUGAUGGCUCAGUGGUAAAGAAUCUGUCUGCUAAUGCAGGAGACAUAGGUUCAAUCCCUUAUCUGGGAA